RNAcentral lists this ribosomal RNA (497 nucleotides) under uncultured bacterium. Its description in RNAcentral is "partial 16S ribosomal RNA". It matches the Rfam family "Bacterial small subunit ribosomal RNA", at positions 28 to 507 of the family's 1533-position model. The record is from RNAcentral.
GAUGAACGCUGGCGGCGUGCCUAAUACAUGCAAGUCGAGCGAACGGACGAGAAGCUUGCUUUUCUGAUGUUAGCGGCGGACGGGUGAGUAACACGUGGAUAACCUACCUAUAAGACUGGGAUAACUUCGGGAAACCGGAGCUAAUACCGGAUAAUAUUUUGAACCGCAUGGUUCAAAAGUGAAAGACGGUCUUGCUGUCACUUAUAGAUGGAUCCGCGCUGCAUUAGCUAGUUGGUAAGGUAACGGCUUACCAAGGCAACGAUGCAUAGCCGACCUGAGAGGGUGAUCGGCCACACUGGAACUGAGACACGGUCCAGACUCCUACGGGAGGCAGCAGUAGGGAAUCUUCCGCAAAGGGCGAAAGCCUGACGGAACAACGCCGCGUGAGUGAUGAAGGUCUUCGGAUCGUAAAACUCUGUUAUUAGGGAAGAACAUAUGUGUAAGUAACUGUGCACAUCUUGACGGUACCUAAUCAGAAAGCCACGGCUAACUUCGUG